This 22-nucleotide non-coding RNA is filed under the name Arabidopsis thaliana (thale cress). Lineage: Eukaryota; Viridiplantae; Streptophyta; Magnoliopsida; Brassicales; Brassicaceae. The record is from RNAcentral.
CAGCCCUGUCAUCAGGUACUUC